CGGCCCCUACGGGGCGCAGCAGUGAGGAAUAUUGGUCAAUGGUCGGGAGACUGAACCAGCCACGCCGCGUGAGGGAUGAAGGUACAGAGUAUCGUAAACCUCUUUUGUCAGGGAACAAAGGCGGGGACGUGUCCCCGGAUGAGUGUACCUGAAGAAAAAGCAUCGGCUAACUCCGUGCCAGCAGCCGCGGUAAUACGGAGGAUGCGAGCGUUAUCCGGAUUUAUUGGGUUUAAAGGGUGCGUAGGCGGAAGGUUAAGUCAGCGGUCAAAUGUCGGUGCUCAACACCGGCCUGCCGUUGAAACUGG
Molecule: ribosomal RNA, 305 nt
Filed under: uncultured bacterium
Lineage: Bacteria
Description: bacterial SSU rRNA
Rfam family: Bacterial small subunit ribosomal RNA
Source: RNAcentral